UCCUUCUGGAUGACGAACGCAGCGGCGUCUUCUUUUCGCCUCUUGGAUAUUUUGAUUUCUUGUUUUUUUUUGCGUGUUUUUGUACCGUCACUCUUCUUCAGUUUUCUUUCCUCCUUUUUUUCCUUGUAUUGCCCCUUUGGGUUUUUUAUGAUUUUCUGUGUUUCUCUUCGUUGUUCUCUUCGCGUGAGCGCUCUACCCCCCCCCCUCCCUCCCCUCAAGCCCCUCCCUCUUGCGCACAGGGACACCGAUGCGCAUCCGUGUGUGUGGGUGUAGAGGGGCGGGGAGGAAGAGAGGGAGGGAGGAGGGGCUGAGCGUGUGGGUCUGCGUGAAUGUGCCAGCGACGUGCCGCGGUACUUUUGUCCUUCCGUCAUUGGCCCCGUCUCGUCGAUGAUGGUCUCGGCUAUACAUCAAACCAGCAGAGAUCUGUCAUGGCUUUCUUCUUGGAGGGCCACGGAAAGGCGCUCUCUCUUCUCCCUCGCUUCCGUAUGCUGACAAGGACGCGUAUAUAUGCGUAUGUACAUCAAUGGUGGUGGGCGCACACGCGACUGCGUCGAUGGUGGUGACGCAUAGUGUGCGGCGCGUUGCUGAACACGCAAGGAAGUAAAGGGGGAACACGGAAAGAAGGAACUAAAGUGUAACUGUCGCGCGCUUUUGUAUCUCCUGUUCUUGACGCGCGAUCCACCAUGUACAUGGACAUCUCUCAAUCCAUUCCCUCUCCCGAUCCAUCUGAUUUUUUUUUGCCUGCGCGCUUCUUCUUAUCCAGCCCUCACGACGAAA
RNAcentral lists this unclassified non-coding RNA (777 nucleotides) under Leishmania donovani. Its description in RNAcentral is "gene:unknown". Lineage: Eukaryota; Euglenozoa; Kinetoplastea; Trypanosomatida; Trypanosomatidae. The record is from RNAcentral.